UAAAAGACAAAGGAAGAUAAAGCUUAACGUUAAUUGAAAAUCCAUUAAUCCAGCAGCAAAAACUUGUAACUUCAUACAACAAAAGUAGUAGUAUCAAAUUACGGAAAAACAAAACUGAAGCAAACGAAACACAAAUGGAGAGGGGGGAGAGCGAAAGACUUGUGGAGUAGAGUGGUCUAUUUAGAUCGCUGUCUCAUCUUUCGUCUCUUCCUCUUUAACCUCCUCAUACGCUUCUUCUUCCACUGAACCAACAAAAAAAUAAAACCAGAUCCACAAUUAAUAAUUCUUCAUUUAGAACGGAAAUGACUAAACUUGGCUCCAAAUGGGGCAGAUGAAUCAGACAAUGAACACAGGAAGACUAGAAGAUCACAAAAUACCUUAGCUCUCAUCACUCCUUUUUGCUCAAAACCCUAAUCCUGGUGAGAGUGACAAAAGACGAUGAAAGAUCGGAUAUAUAUUCUACAAACCCUAGACAUUGAAACGAGACCAAUAUACAAGUAGGCUUUUCCUAUUGGGCUUUUAAGGCCCAUAUUAUAUUCUCCCGAAAUAAGUUUAACCCAGUUACCUCAACCUCAAGUCCACCGUAUCUUAAGUAAACUCUCAUUCUUCAUUUCUAAAGUUCCGGCUUAAACCCCGACGAUGUCUCUUCUCCGGCGAUUCGUUAAAAAGGCAAACGAUUACAGAUUCCUCCUUCAAUCGAACUCUGGACGUUCAUUCUCUACCGUAAAUCCCAAUCCAUUUGCUUCACCUGGUCGUCGCACUACCGCCGAAUUCGAUAACCUCAUCUACGAAGCCGGGAACUCCGGCGACUUCGAAGCGGUACGCCGUCUGCUCAACACCCGCGUCGUAAACGCUUGUUUCAACACAAGCGCAACAUUCAAAUUCCUAACAAACACCGACUCUUACGCCCCCUCCUUAGAAGAUCUCCGCCGUAUUUUGCCUCAGACCGACGCCGGCUACACGCGUAAACAUGCUUACGAAACUCUCAUCGCGCGCCUCUGCAAACUGAACCGGAUCGACGAUGCUCUGAUCCUGAUUAACGAUAUGGCGAUCGGAAAAUUCGAACUCUCAACCUCCACAUUUCAUCCGAUAUUAAACACGCUCACGAAGAAGAACAAGAUCGAGAAAGCUUGGCGCGUGGUGGAAUUGAUGAGAUCUCAAGAGCUUUCGAUGGACGUGACGUCAUACAAUUACUUUUUAACUUCGCAUUGUUACGACGGCGACGUGGCGGAGGCGAGCAAGGUGUUGAGGAAGAUGGAGGAAGAAGAGGGAAGGGUUAUGUCACCGGACACGCGUACUUACGACGCGCUUGUGUUAGGCGCGUGUAAAUCGGGGAAGGUGGAAGCGGCAAUGGCGAUACUGAGGAGGAUGGAUGAACAGGGGUUGCCGGUACUGUACGCCACGCAUGCGCACGUUAUUGGAGUGAUGGUGGAGAGUGGCUAUUAUACGCUGAGCGUUGAGUUUGUGAUGGCGUACGCCGGGAAAGAUAAGAGAUUGGAUGAAGAGAACUUGGGGAGUUUGGCUAGCAAGCUUAUCAAGAGGAAGAGGUUUAAUGAAGCUAAGUUGGUUUUGAAGGAGAUGAGUGUUAGAGGAUUGAGGAUGGGUGAUGCUUUACGUGGUUUUUAUGAGACCAAUGUGAUAAAGUCCUGAUUUUGAUUCUAUUAGAAGAUGAUCACCAUUUUUACAGAGAGCAAAACUCGAGUGAUACAGAAAAAAAUUGAACUUCUUACAGAAGGUAAAUGUAAUAAAGAGAGUGUAAGUGUAGCUGUGUAGAAAUGAGCUUUUUGCAAAAUAUCUCAUCCGGAAGCUAAAGGUCCAUGAUUAUACAAAUGAAUCUGUAUGUAUUUGUGGCUUCAAGUUGAAGAGUUCCUGUGCAAGUAUGAAUUUAUGGAUUUUACUGUUCUUAAGCUUUUUACAUGAAGGAGAACUUAUCAGAUAAGAUGGUGAACUGUUUUGUUUAAUUUACAAAGGAGCAACAUUUACAGCAACGUACACGUCUCUAGUUUUAUUUUCAAGGACAAAGAGAGGUUAUUUACUUUUUCUACUUUUUUUGGGGGGGAAUGAGUUAGUUUUGUGCAACCUCUACUUGUUGAAGAUGAAUGUGUGAUCCAUUCAGCUGAUAGUCCCAAUACCAGCUUCCUGUUUCCAAUACCUCUUCUUUCAUUGCUUCUAAGUUGAUGCUUAAACCUAAAUCCAACACCAAAUAAUGCAAUCAAUCCAUACUAGUGUCAAAUUAGUUUGGUUUCUUAUCUGUUCUAGCUUUUUAUAAGAUUCACUGACCUGCAUUUCCUUGCGUAAUCUUCAGUAUGUGACCAUCCGGUACUUCAAAAACAUGGUUUCCCUGCAAAAAGAAUAUAGAUCAAUUGGUUUGAAGCAGACACUCUAAUCCAUGACAAACUUCCGUGCUACUUUACUUUACCUCUACAGUUACAUUGCUAGCUUCGAAUUCUGCAUUUCCGUGCAAUAUGAUUUUACAUGUUUCAAGCCGGUUCACAUCGUUUCUCCAGUAAACAUUUGAUUUACUGUUCCAAUCGAUUCCUCGGUUCACUACCUUGACGUUAUGCAGUUUACACUUGCCACACCUACAAAUCAAGUUUUAUGUGUGAAUUCACAAAUGCAAACAGAUAGACAUGUAUCUCACAGAGAUAAUCUAAUCUAGUACAUGAUUCUUUUCUACCUUAAUCCGUAUUGUAAUAUUUGUUCACCAUGAUCAUUGAUAGUUGUUGAACCCAUGGCAUUUUCAGCAGUGACGAUCAAGCUACCAUCAACCUAUAGGGAGAGAAGGUGACUUAGAAUUUAAGUAACUCAGCGCGAUGGAAGCUAUGCGAAAUCUUGUUGGCAGAAUAAAGAUAUUGAGAACCUGAACAUUGUUCCAUGACAACUCUGCAAUCUCGAGUUGCACUUCUGAGCAACUGGAAAUGGACCCUCCCAUGAACUGUUACGACGAUCAGAUAAGAUUCAUCAUAAUAAACCAUUUGUUAGACUUUCUCAACCAGGAAAAAAAAUCAGACUAUUGACUUACUUUUUGUCUUGAAACCUCCCAAAGAGGACCGAGAGCAGGAUGCAGAAGAAUGAGAUACGGAGGUGGGGAAUCCACAUAGUUAUCAUUAGGUUGAAUCUGGAGAAGUAGAAUGAAUUAGUUAACUCUCAGUUUGAAGUUGUUACUGAUAAGAUUAACACUGGCAUGUAACAUAUCUUCAUGGGUCUGAAAUAUCAGUAGUAAUUAAAACAAGUCAUAUAAAAUAUAUGUAUCUAUGAACUUACCAUGGGAAGUUUAAUAUCACAUUCUGUAAGGAGCUCAUAUGCAUUGCGUAGUAUAUCCAACAAUGCACCAUCUGGAGUCUGUAAAGAAAGAGAUCAGUCUCAAAAUUAGUUAAACUCUGAAUAUAAUUCAAUUGAUACCAAAAGAAUGCAAUGGUAUAAGAAAUAUUACCUGGUGCAAAGCAGCACUUGCGUGUGGUUUCUUCUUCUUAGCUGAAGAGGUGACCUUUCUUCGUUCAUUGUAAACAAUAUACGUAUCCAGUUUAUCUAGUAAGAUAAAAUUAAGAGUUAGUGAUACCUAAAGACAGAUACAUUAAACAUUGCAAGACAGAUACAUCGAAUAAAUUUACCUUCUAGAUUGCCCUGGCAUCUAGAUGGAAACUUAUUUAAGAAAUUGUCUGCUAUGUUUUGCAUUGUGCAUUCCAGUCGACCACCCAAAACGCUGUCCAGUAAGUAAAGUAAUAAAAAAAUUGCUAACAAUUAAAGAAGAAACUCCUAAAAUUUAUCUAAAGUAGACAUUUCAAACUAAGAGAGUGACUGUUGAUUCCAUACAGAAAAAAAAAAAAAACAGGAAUCAGUAUGAAUUCCAUUUUAGCUAUAAGCAGCAGUUACGAUUUGACUGAGGCAUCUAGAUAGAAACAAAGAAUCACAAUAAGAAUUGUGACCUAUAACAAGGGAACAGAAGAUCAAUAUUAGGAAAUACAAACCUGUGAUAGUCUCCAUACUGAUCAAUGUACUCAAUUCGCUUCUUUGUAUUAAGAACCAUAUUUGGCAAACUUUUUGCAUUACGGCUCGACCCAAUUGACUCGGCAGAAUGUAAGUCAACAUAUAGAAUGUUUGUAUUGGCAGGGAAAUCCGCCUGCAAACUUCAGAAGUAAAAAAGAAUAAUGAUUUAAUCUUGCAGUCUGAGCUGAAGAAUUAUAUAAGUAUUGAAGAAUUACACUGAUAAAAAGCACUAGAAUUUUAACCAGAGAACCAAAAAGAAUAACUAACACUAUAGACAAAUAACAAAAGAGGAGAAAAAAAUUCAACACAUUUGUCAGCUAGAAUAGAGAUACUAUGAGUCAGUUCUCGAAUAUAUGCACCUUACGCAAGAACAAACUCAAUGAUAGAAAUAUCAUACCCAUUUGAAGAAGGAGACCUGUUGGAGACUCCAAAUUUAUCAAAUUCGGUGUACUCAAUGCACGAUAUACCAUAUUCCCACUUCCCAUCAAAAUUCUUCUUCUCCAUCAAUACAUUAAUCCCUUCGGUUGCUCCAGCAUUUCUUUUACAGGAUGCAAACCCAAGUUUCUGGCACAUUAAAUAAAUCAUGGUCUGUGGGAAUCAAUCGUUUGGAAGUCCAGAAAAGAUGUUCCUUUUUCUUGAGGUAGAGAGAUGAAUACAUGGUAUAUGAUCUCAACUAGUAUGCAAGUAUACCUUAUUAUACCGUAAGCCAAUCCCAGCAAGGGCCAAGAGGGUAACAUCUGUGGCAGCCACAACAUUGCUGCAAUAUCACAAUUAUAAACACUAAAUCCAGAUAGUUCUGAGUUUAUUUUAAUGAGCAACUUCAAAAGGGUACAAGUAACUAACCUAACUUGCCGAAUGGUUGCUCCCUUUCUUCCAUGAUUAAAAAACCAUUUAAAGACACCUUUGUCAUAAGCCAAUUUCCAAAUUGCACCAUGACCACCAGGUUUACUAACUGGCACAAAGGGCUUUGAUACUAUCCAUUGACCAUCUUCAGCACUGACAGCUGGGACGAGAGGCUAGAGAUCAAAAACCACAUACCAUUGAUUAUGAGUAUUAAUACUCAAUAUGAAGUUGUUAAAUUAAAAGGUAAAAGAAAUCAGAAGAAAAUGUAUGUCUCCGAUACCUGUUCAAAGAGACGGAAACUUGAUUCACCUCUUCCAAACCAUUUGAGCCGUUUACAAAGCGAAGUUACAUGCUCAUGGUUGUUCUUUGCAGCACUUGUCAUAAUGGCAACAGGUGUGACACAUUGCUUUCCAUAAAGCUUGAAGUAAAGGAACUCUCUAGCCUAGCAAUUAACAAAAAAGAUUCAUAACAUGACUAAUGCACAAAACAACAAACAGUUGUUCAUACCUCACAUUUUCCCUUUCGUUCUUUCAAACACAGAGACACAAAGAGUCACUCUAGUAAUUAGUGAAUAUGUACCUGAAGAUCUCUAAUAAGUCCCUCCAACAAAGUUCGUCCACAAUGGGCAAGCAUUGCUGCAGGAAGGCAUUCUCCUGUUUCUGUAUCAACCAACCCUAAUCUGUCUGCUGCACCUCCUAAGGGAUAUAUUUCACCUAAGUCUGGCAAUCCCUAAUAUUAACAACAACUUAUCAUCUAGAAACCAUACACAACAAAUUCCGUAAAAGUUCAAAAGCAAUAACACAUUAGUAACCUCAAUUCCCCAUAGAGCCGCCUGCGAGGCAUACUCCUUCCUCUGAGUGAGGUCAAGGACACUUGGAGUAUGCAUUUCUAAGUACUGGCAACCCAAGGAUUCUUCAACAAGAUGUGACCGGUUAGCAUUACGCCUCUUGGUUGAUUGGUGAAGAAGCUCUAGAACCAUAACCUGAUAUCUGACACACAAUCAUGAAUGUCUCAGCAGUGAAUAUAUCCCAAGGCAUCCUCGUAAGAUUUCAUCUAAUUCCUGUACUAAACCAAGUUAAGAAUUGGUACCCGAUAAUUCCUCCAAUGCAGUCGUAGAACUGUUCAAUUUCAUCCAGAAACCUCAAGAACUUUCUAAAGCGAGCAAUCUCCUCUGCAUCUAAAACUGUACCCAUCUCUCGUCUACCUUUAUAGCCGCUACUAUUAACAUCAAAUCGCUCAAUCAUCUCAACCAACGCGUAAAGUGCGUUCUUCACCGAACUUCUCACUGUAUACUCCUCUUCUUCUUCAAAUGCUUCCCCAUAAUUCAUACAUAGCGCGUGUUCCUGCCCCGCCGCGAUCACACACUUAACGAGAAACAUGUCUUUCGAAUUCAAACCAAGUGAACCUAAAACCUUAGCUAAACCGCCUCGAUUCUCGCUGAAGAAUCGACGAACUCUGGAAUCAGCGUCGAUAACCGCGUCCUUCCGCCGUAAGUCCUUGGAAACGUCUAGUUUCGCUAGGAGAGACUUGAGCCGAUCGAUUUCGGAUAAGAAAUCGUCGGAUUCGGGAGGAGUCGGAGUGGAAUACUCAACAGGCACGGUGGACACGUGUCUCACCUGGUGGUUAUUACAUUGCUGCUCGCUCUGCGGAAACUUCGAGAACAAUGAAGAAGAAGGGAGAAAGAGCAGAGGCUUUCUGAAAUGCAGAGAGGUGAAAGAAGAAGGAGACGUAGAAGUAGCGCGGAAGUGGAAGAGAGAGACGUGAUUCUGGUAAAUAGGAGAAGCUUGAGGAUUAGCCAUGGCGGGUGAGAUGGUUACAGAAGGAGGAGGAGGAGAAGGGAGGGGUUUUGAAGAGAACCCCAAGGAGGGAUAAGGAGAUAUACUCCAAGCAUAUACCCAGAUUGCUUCUUUUACUGUACGAUUGCUUCUUUUAUUUUUUUUUGGGCUUCGUUUGCUUUUCUUUUUUUGUGGAAAAUAAAAAUUAUAUAAUCCAACCAGCUUCGAAGGAUUUGAUUGUGUAGAUGAUGUGUGAUUGUCGUGUGUUUGUAAUCUGUAAUCUGACGGCUUAGACGACACCGUUUUGGAUUACACCGAUGGGCCAUCUUCAUUUGUUCAUGUCGACUGCUCCCAACAUUUUUCAUGUUCUUUUUUUUUUUUUUUUUGUCAUCUAUGUUCUUUUUUUUUUUUUUUUUUUGUCAUCCAUGUUCUUUUUUUUUCUUUCAUUUUUAACAUAUUUUAUGACUCUCAAAGUAGUCAGUAAUUCAGUAUUGUUAUGACGUUUUCGGGUGUGUUAUCGCUUGUCAGUAUAAUUGCUACCAUUUUCAUAAAGAAUUGCCAAAUCAAAGCACAUUUGUCAAUAUUAUGUUCUUACAAGUGUGCAUAUGAAGUUAUGUUUGAUCAUUAGUUACGAUAUCUCUUUCAUGUGGUUUAGUAUUAUUAACUACGAUACCUUUGCAUGUGGUAUAUAGGAGAUGGAGUGUUAAUAUGUGUCAAAUAAUCAGCAAAUAAAUCGAUUAUUCAAUUGUGCAUUGAUUUCGAUUCUGAAUAAUGCAAUCAUGGAGUAUCAAAUUGAGAGAACCAUCUUCAACUAAAUUAUUUGAUCGAGCAAACCUUGUGAAAUAGACUUUGAUCGGUUUGCUCUAAAGAUACUUCAGAAACUGAUGAUUAAACAAUUAAAAGAACAUAGUAACUAAUUACAAACACCAUCAACAUUAUGCACACCAAAAAAGGGGUCUUACCGUGAUCUCGCAUAUGUUCUGUUUACGACAUAUAACAGCAAAUGGAUCCACUGGAUUCUUUAAGCCGUUAUAUAAACUAAGUUCCAUAGAUUUAUAUAUAUAUAUAUAUAUAGAUGAAAGCAGCCUAAAGAGAAGCAAGGAGCUUCAAAAGAGACUCAAAAAAACCUCACACAAUCGUCAUAUUAAUACUUACAGAUUUGUUGUGAAGCAAAGUAGUACUAGUCUCUUCACGCAGUUGACAGCACUUCCAGUUCUGCCCACCAGAGAGCUGAAAGUUUUGGAAUCGCAUCGUCUGGUGAUAAUCCUGUGAUCUCCCGUAAUCUCCCUGUCACUUCCUUCAUUGUCGGUCUCUGUUUCGGGUCUGCCCUUAUGCAGCUUUUGAUCACUUCGCCUAUAUUCUCAAUCUUCUCAUCAAAACUCUCCAAUGUUGGAUCCGCCAUCUCCCUUAAAGUCUUUCCUCUCAAGAAAUCAGCCAAACCAGUAUCUAUUGAGUCGCCUUUCCUAACUGACUCUGGGAGUUUUCCAGUCAUCAAUUCGAACAACAGCAACCCAAAGCUGUGAACAUUGUCUUCUUGUGUCGUUUCUGAAAUGUUUGUAUCUAUGAGUGCAUUGGUGCUGCUCUCUGUCUCUGAUGGGCCUUUUAGGUACCCGAAAUUGAAAUCUGCAAUUUUGACUGCGUAGUCCUCUGUCAGUUGAACUGAUGACGAGAGAAGACUGCUGUGGACUACAGGUGGUUUGAGCCCGUGCAUAUGGUCAAGACAAUAUGCUAUGCCCAUUGCUAUUCUUAGCCGCAUUACCCAGUCCAAGUGCUCUGACUCUUUAUCUGCAACAAAGUCAUAUUGUUUCCCAUUUUUAAACUGACAACUUACAGUGUAACGACUCAUAUGACUAAGGAGCUUUUUCACUUACAGUGUAGAUGUUCAAAAACUGAUCCGUUUGAUGCAUAUUCAAAGACCAAGAUCCUAGUGAAAGGUGCAUCUUCUUCACAGUAACCAAGAAGGUUGACAAAAUUCUUGUGGUUUAUCUUGGAUAACAUUUCGAUCUGAAAUGAUCCAAAACAUAAACGAUAAGGCAAAUAUGAACCAAAAUCCAUUUAAAUAUAAGGGAACUGGCUGACUGGAAAUACCUUCUUUCUGAACUGCAUUUCGAUGUUAUUAGUCCAUUCUUUGGCAGACGCGGUAGCAACAGAAGCCACAGCUAUUUCCACCCCACUAGAUAGUGUCCCUUUGAACAAAGUGCCAAUGGGACAAGACCCAAUGACAUUACUGAAUUCUUCACAGGCAGCUUCAAUCUCAGAUCUUUUGAGUUUGGGGACACCUGAGUAACCAAAUGGCACACAUCAUUAAUAUGGAAACCAAAAGAAAAUGGACAAGCACGUCAAUUAAACCUCAAACUUCCAGAAAUAAAAAUGACACUUAGUAAGACACUAAGACUGUAAGAGCGAGUAGAAAGGCAAUUACCAGUUAUGAACACUUUCUGAAGCUGUCCACUAAGACCUGUACGCCAAGGAUUCACAGAUUUCCCAGCCUUACUCUUGAAAAAGAAGACACCAGUUGCUAAAAGGAGGAUAAACACAGCACCGCCUAAGCAGCCAGCCACUAUAGGAACCGUGUUGUUUGAAGAAUUUUUGGAGCUUCCUCUUAGGAUAGGAAAAUUCAAAUGGGGCACAAGAGGAGGUGGAGCAGAAACAUGUAGUGCAGGAGAACUUUUUGGCGGUGGAGGCAACGUUGAGGCUUUAGUAGCUUUAGUUCUCGGAGAAGAUGACGGAGAUGUAGCUCUUGCCACAGGGCGGUUCUUGUAGCUAUUCAAAUGGGUGUACGGGUUACGAAAACGGCCAAGUAAUUUCCUGUGAAAACCAACUGCUCUCCUACAAAAAGGUCAAAAGGCAAAAUGAUAUUUGAGUACACAGGAGAGCAAACAGAUACAUGUUUCUAAUUCAAAUGGAAUAAACGAGUGUGCCAGAGCACAGUCAAAGUAAAAUCAGCAAGUCUUAGUAUAAAAAUGCGUAAAACACAGUGUCGGUCUUCAUGUAGUACUACUCAAGAAAUAGUAUUAGUUCACUCAAAAGAAAAAAACUAAAAAGUAAGCAUGGUGUUAAAAAAAGUCAUAGAUCUACAAAAACCAGCUACAUUGAUGUUGAUGUUCAACCAAAAUUCAUGUUCAAAUCAUGUUCGCAAAAACUAUUCAUUCUACAUUGAACAAUCAACUUAAUAGUGGCUAAAACACUAGAUCUUACAUAGCAAGCUCAGAAACCUAAUCUGCACAAGUAUAAAAACACCUCAUGUAAAGCGCAAGCAUCAAGUUAUAAAUCUAAAAAUCAUCAACGAAGAGGUCUUAUCCAAAAAUACUUAAAACUUACUAAAUCAAUCCAGCUGCGUUAACAAACUAAAAAAAAAAAAAAAAAAAAAAAUCACAGAACAAAAAAAUCGAAAGCUGCUGAUACUUACAAAUCCUCGGCAUCUCCAUCUGACAACAGAUCUUUCGUCACAAAAUCCAGAUAACCCACACCUGAAAAGCCAAAAUCGAAACAGCAAUCAUCAGCAACUUGCUUCUAUUUACCGGCGGCAAUCAAAAGAAAAAGUGAGAGAGAAUCAAAAACUAGUAAAUAUACCAUGAGAUGUCAACGAAAAGCAAGAACCGAAGCUCAAAAUCACCAGAAGAAACAGGAGAGUACGAUUUGGAAGAGUUAAUCGAACAAAUUUCCAGUUAUCACUCAUUGUGAGAAGACGACAAGUGGAAGCAGGAAGCUAAUCAACGACACCGGAAGCUGGAAAUACCAAAGGCUCGAUUUGAAUCUGAUACGGCUAGAUUGGAAGAUGAAGAACAAAAAGAAAUCAAAAAGUUAAGCUAAAAGAAGAAGAAGAAGGAAGAGAGAGAGAGGUUUAGAGUUUUGAGUUCGCAUGGCGGAGGAGACGAUUAGAAAGAAGAACAUGACUUUUCAACUUUAGAGUUUUUUUUUAAUUUUAAAGCGCGUGUCCCCGUGGUUUGGCCCCGAUAAUAAAUUAAAAAGUAUACAGAGACUCUCAGAGAGAGUAGUAAAUUUAAAUAAAUAAAAGGCAAUAACUUCUUCUUGUUGACAAAAUAAAUAAUUAAACAAUAACGUACAUUUAUUUUCUUUUAUGAGAAUUGAACGUAUAAUAAUAUUCAACUGUAUAAAUAAGGAAGAAGAAGAGAGUAACACAGUUUUAGCAUAACAUGUAGAAAAGAUAGAAGAAAUCUAAAACCAAUGGACGUGAAGAUGCCAGAGUUCAAAAAAGGUAUCCAAAAGAAAGAGGCCAAAGCCACCGGUCACCACCACCGUCGAUAAAGACUUGUUUUGAUGUUAGCAGCCCUUUUCUGUGGAAUAUGGUUUAUAGUAAAAAACAUAAAACAAUGGUGGUGGUGGGAGGAUAUAUACGCCACGUGGAUUUAUUUUGUUGUAAUCAUGUGUUGGAUAGUGGAAUGAUUGAAGUUGAAUGAUUGUGUUUUUUUUUUUCUGUUAUUGUUAUUAUCAAUUUAUCAUUACGGGAUUAAGAAAAUUAUAAUGAUAAUUUUUUUUCUUUUUUUUUUUCUUCUGAUGACUGAUUCAACGUGGAGGUUUUUUUCUUUUUUUUGGUAUUAUGUUGGCUUAGCUGUUGUUAAAAUUCAUUCGUUUUCAAUCCAACUCUUUGCCAUGUGGUCAUGGUCAUGGAUGUAAUGGGUGUGUAUCGCGUACGCCCCAAUUUUAUUUUUGCUGGCGCUAAAUUCGUUUAUAUAUUCUCAGAUUUUUUAGGGUAUGGAGAAGUGUUCCAUAAUUGUUGUUAUUGACACACCGCCCACGUUUUGUGGUGUUUAUCCCAUUCAAAGAGACACAAAGAAGUGUUCCAUAAUCAAUCUAUCUCUAUUCUUCCACGAUCUCUUGUCGAUCAUAUAUAUAUAAAGUACCCAUAUUGCAGCUACUACCUGAUUUUAUUGUUUACGGGCCUAAUGCUAAUGAGCAGAAGAUGAAAUGUUCUUGAUUCAACAUUAACAUAACCAUACAUAUAUGUUCCGAUGAGAUCAAUCCAAACACACAUGUUCCGACAAACACUCAAAAUUCAUUUUGGAAAUUUGGAACUUUUGAGUCUAAUCAUAAUGUCCAAGUCCGACCAUACCUUUUGAUAUGAUCUACAUCCAUUCUUCAGCUUAAUAUAUGCAUUUUCUUUGGUAAUCAAGUUAGACACACAAUUAAUCCAUCAGAAAAUUUUCAAAUCAAUAAAAAAUAGUUAACUCAUGAAUAAAAAGUUCGACAUAAUGUUUUUUGUUGUUGUUGUUGUUAAAUAAGAGCUUCAUUAUUGGUUGAAUGGAUCCGAAGAAAUUAAAUGGUUGACUAGUAUGUAUGUAACGGUCUCGCCGUAAUCUGAAAGCCAUCGAGUUUUUGAUUGGAGGAUGAAGCAAAAAGAGCAAAUCAAAUACUAUUAUAGAAUUUUACAAAAUUCACCGCCAUGUCUACGCGUACGUAAUCUAACUUCAUCUUUACGUAAGUUUAUGCCUUCUCUGUUUUGGUCACCUUUAUACUUAUUAGUAUUAUAGUCGUCACUUUGUUUUUUGGUCUUGCAAGUGCAUAUGCAUGCACUUUCAUGGGAAACUUUGCUUGAAGUAAUUGACAGUCAGAUAGUGCUGCGGCAUAUAUAUAAUAUAGUACUUACAAACUAAAUUUUGAUGGGCGUUAGAGUAUUAAAAAUAUAUAAUGGGAAACCUUAAAGAUCAAUGCAUUGAUUAUAUUUGUCAUUGACUUAUUAAAUG
RNAcentral lists this long non-coding RNA (12310 nucleotides) under Capsella rubella. RNAcentral describes it as "long non-coding RNA (CRUB_LNC002834)". The record is from RNAcentral. Lineage: Eukaryota; Viridiplantae; Streptophyta; Magnoliopsida; Brassicales; Brassicaceae.